UGCUAAUUUCCAUGGUUUGGGGAAGUAUUGAAUUCUUAGAAUUGCGUUGAAUAUUACUGUUAUUAGUCUUAUUGCUUUUGGCGGAAGGUUUUUUAAGAUUUUACCAUUAAUUAGGUCGAUUCCUGGCGCUUUGUUGUUUUUUGUUUUAUCAAUUAUGUUUCUAAUUUCUUGUGCCGAUGUUUUAGGUAUGGUGUAUUCCUUGUCGGCUGUGGUAGCAGUGGUUUGUGGAUCCUCCUCCGUAUGACUUUUGAGGUUGCUGUUGUUGAUGAUGUGUGGUGUGAAUGUGUUGCAGAGGUGGUUGGAGAAUUCUUCAGCUUGUUCUUCGUUGCUUCUUGCCCAUGUGUUAUCUGCUUUUCUGAUUGCCGGGACGGGUAUUAUUGGCUUCCUUAUUUUUUUCGUGGCUUUCCAUAGUGAAUAGUUGGUGUUCUCG
RNAcentral lists this unclassified non-coding RNA (430 nucleotides) under Bombus terrestris (buff-tailed bumblebee). Its description in RNAcentral is "misc RNA ENSBTSG00005027377.1". The record is from RNAcentral. Lineage: Eukaryota; Metazoa; Arthropoda; Insecta; Hymenoptera; Apidae.